Molecule: ribosomal RNA, 485 nt
Filed under: uncultured bacterium
Lineage: Bacteria
Description: bacterial SSU rRNA
Rfam family: Bacterial small subunit ribosomal RNA
Source: RNAcentral
GAUGAACGCUAGCGGCAGGCUUAACACAUGCAAGUCGAGGGGCAGCACGUCUUCGGAUGGUGGCGACCGGCGCACGGGUGCGUAACGCGUAUAGAACCUACCUUUUACAGGGGAAUAGCCCAGAGAAAUUUGGAUUAAUGCCCCAUAGUAUUAUUAGAUGGCAUCAUUUGAUAAUUAAACAUUUAUGGGUAAAAGAUGGCUAUGCGUUCUAUUAGCUAGAUGGUAAGGUAACGGCUUACCAUGGCGACGAUAGAUAGGGGUCCUGAGAGGGAGAUCCCCCACACUGGUACUGAGACACGGACCAGACUCCUACGGGAGGCAGCAGUGAGGAAUAUUGGACAAUGGGCGAGAGCCUGAUCCAGCCAUGCCGCGUGCAGGAAGACGGUCCUAUGGAUUGUAAACUGCUUUUAUACAGGAAGAAACACUCCCUCGUGAGGGAAUUUGACGGUACUGUAUGAAUAAGCACGGCUAACUCCGUGCCAGCA